RNAcentral lists this ribosomal RNA (427 nucleotides) under uncultured bacterium. RNAcentral's name for it is "bacterial SSU rRNA". It matches the Rfam family "Bacterial small subunit ribosomal RNA", at positions 355 to 775 of the family's 1533-position model. The record is from RNAcentral.
UUUCGAAUCAUUUACAAUGGGCGAAAGCCUGAUGGUGCGACGCCGCGUGAGGGAUGAAGGCCUUCGGGUUGUAAACCUCUGUCACCGGGGAAGAAACGCUUCAAGUUAAUAGUUUGAAGCCUGACUUAACCCGGAGAGGAAGCAGUGGCUAACUCUGUGCCAGCAGCCGCGGUAAUACAGAGACUGCAAGCGUUAUUCGGAUUCACUGGGCGUAAAGGGUGCGCAGGCGGCCAGGUGUGUUAGGCGUGAAAGCCCGGGGCUUAACCCCGGAAUUGCACCUAAAACUACUUGGCUAGAGCAUUGGAGAGGGUAGCGGAAUUCACGGUGUAGCAGUGAAAUGCGUAGAUAUCGUGAGGAACACCAGAGGCGAAGGCGGCUACCUGGACAAUUGCUGACGCUCAGGCACGAAAGCGUGGGGAGCAAAAGG